CAACUAAAUGCAAAAACGAAAUAGAUUAAAAGUAAUUAAGGUUUUAAGAUUCAUAAACACAAAGAAAAACUGAAAGAUAAAGCAUAGAUCCUUUGGACAAACCCCAAAGUGAUAUA
RNAcentral lists this small RNA (116 nucleotides) under Arabidopsis thaliana (thale cress). Its description in RNAcentral is "ATSL202700". The record is from RNAcentral. Lineage: Eukaryota; Viridiplantae; Streptophyta; Magnoliopsida; Brassicales; Brassicaceae.